Molecule: long non-coding RNA, 748 nt
Organism: Trifolium pratense (red clover)
Lineage: Eukaryota; Viridiplantae; Streptophyta; Magnoliopsida; Fabales; Fabaceae
Exons: 3
Source: RefSeq, a predicted model, not a curated record
CAUCAGCAAAUGAAAUCACUCGUGUUAGGGGCUGAACUGACUGACUGACCGAUUCUCAAACAAAUAUGGCGGAAACCUCUUCGUCUCCGGCUGCUCCACCCAAACCUGUUGUCGUUAGGGUCAAACGAAAACCCUCUCAAUCUCCUCUCGAUGCUCUCUGGUUGGAAAUCAAUGAUAGGCCAUUGAAGCGCUCUCUCUUGGAUUUUGGAAACCUUUCACUUUCUCAUUCUUCUCCAAACGGUAUGUUAAAGAUUCAAUACCUUAAGCCUAUGCUUCGAUUUAGGGUUUUGGAGGAGGAGAGUAUUUUGGACUUUAUUUAUUUUAGAUUUAAUGCUUAUAUGUUAUUGCAAUGUCUUUGAAGGGCUGCCAAUGUUAUGGAUGGAAGUUUAGAUCUUCCUCUCCAUCCUAAGGUUAACAAAGUAAAGACUAUAUCUGAACUUUUGGACAUUGCAGCUUCAGGGAGUAAUAUGAAUGCUGUCUACCAUUGUGCUGCAACUGUCGAUGACAUUUUAGUGAAAAAUGGAUGGUAUUAUGUUUCAUGUCCAGAUUGUAGAAAAACUGUUUCUCCCACUGAAACAAAUUUUAGGUGUGACCAUUGCAAAGUUGAUAUAGAAUAUCCAAAGACUAGGUACUUUUCCAAAGACUAGGUACUUUUUUGAACCUAUAGUACUUGAAAAAUAUAAUCAUGUUAUUGGUAUAUGUAUUAUAGGUUCCGUUUAGAGCUUCAGGUGAAAGACCGUACCGAUAC